CUUGACCAUUGACCUC
This 16-nucleotide ribosomal RNA is filed under the name Cylindrobasidium evolvens. RNAcentral describes it as "partial 28S large subunit ribosomal RNA". The record is from RNAcentral. Lineage: Eukaryota; Fungi; Basidiomycota; Agaricomycetes; Agaricales; Physalacriaceae.